RNAcentral lists this long non-coding RNA (1125 nucleotides) under Phoenix dactylifera (date palm). RNAcentral's name for it is "long non-coding RNA (PDAC_LNC015808)". The record is from RNAcentral. Lineage: Eukaryota; Viridiplantae; Streptophyta; Magnoliopsida; Arecales; Arecaceae.
GACCAACUAUAAUUGAUAAUUGCAUUCGAACUAAGGUUAAGUUUUGAUAGAAAAUGUAGCAAUGAGAACCUGGAAAAAACUCUCUGCUUUCCAUAGUUUACAUGAAGCAAUUAAAAACCUGAUAGAUUUUAUGGGAUUAUAUCAUAAAACAAUAGAUAUCCAAAAGAAGGGCUAGUGAAUAUAAUGGAAAGAAGGCAUCCGCCCAUAACUUUGACCUGCAUAAGAAUUCCAGUGUCAUAAGCACUAAGAAGGCCAACUUCAUUUUCAACUUGAAGUUCACAAAAUAUAGCAAAUCUUAGAUGAACAUAGCAUGUAGUACAUGGUGUUUUGUUAUUGCAAAAAAAGAGUUAAGCAUUGCCAGUGGAAGUCAAAUAUGUUAUACCAAUAACGAUAGAAUAGUUUAAUCCAAAUAAAAGCUCCUGAGUCAUCAUAAACAUUAAGAAGACCAGCAUGACUUCUGACUCUAAAUCCUUAGAUGUGACAAACUUUAGAUAAGUCUAUGCCUCCAGACAAAUAUAGCGCAUCACUUUUUUUUAUUGCCAAAAAUGUUUAGAAUGGUCACAGUUCAAAAAUAAAACCUUCAUUUUGUGCAAAUAUCAUUACUUCUAAAUACAGCUCCUACAACAUAAUAUAAGAUGAGAAAUGUACACCUCUAUUAUUGUUAGAUAACAGAGGAUGACAUAAGCAACUAAAACUCACAAAGAAAGAGAAGGCUAAAACUGUCCCCAUCUACUGGAGAACUAGAAUCACAAUAUGAUCUGAAACUACAUAGGGCAUGUUAAAUUAUAGUAGUUUGACAAUGAUAUAUUAUCAGCAAGACUCAUUCUCACUCUUCUAGCAGGUAAAAAGAAAAGGCAUAAUCUGGAGAAUAAUUAGCUUAAACUAUAUCAAUGAGAUUUGAGUGGUAGAGAAGAAAUCUUAAUUGUGAAAAGUUGUGCAACUCUCAAACUAGUAAAUGCUUAAUUAUAAAAUUAGACCCAUUGAAAACAUUGGCAAGAUAUUUGCAUCUCAUAUACAUUAAAAUCAAUCUAUGCUGAUGAGAUGAAUCGGUCACUAAAAAUUCAACAUCUGGCUCGACCAUUUGGAGGUUUCAGAUUGGAGUCAGCGUCGGAGUGCCAUCCAAAA